CUGGGUCCUUAUCUACAUUUUAGGGAUUACACCACCUCUGUUUACUUAAAAAGAAGGGACACUGAAUGCAGUAAAGCCAGUCACACUGAGACCCUUGAUUUUACACCUAUAGUUGCCCCUACGUGAAAACAUCUGGUCCACUCAUGGGAAAGUCUAUGGUGCCACUGAUGGGAGUCAUAAUUAAAUGAAAGUUCAAAACCUGGAGAGAUAUUUUCUUAUCUGGUUGUCUGAUUGUUUCUUAGGGAUAAUCUAGGUUAAAUGUGUGUCUAAAAAAAAAUAAUAAUUUUUUUAUUGUAACAAUCUGGUAUCUGAAUGGGUUUCUAAAGCAUUGAACUAUCUUGCAGUUAAAAGUUGGGUUUAAGCAAUUGUUUAGUUUGAUUUCAGAUAGUUCAUGCUAGAAAACUUAAAUACUUGGGAUAAAAAAAAUUUAAGAGUUUCAAUUUUGAACUGGGUAGCCUGAAAAGAAAUUAAAACGUUGGUCUGGCUCAUAAAAAUGACAUUAGAUAAUUAAAUAGCAAUAGUCUUAGAAAUUUUCAAAGCUUAAUUUCAGAUAUAUAUGGUAGUGUGUGAGCAAAUUUAAUGUAACUCAAUGCUACUUUA
Molecule: long non-coding RNA, 600 nt
Filed under: Marmota monax (woodchuck)
Lineage: Eukaryota; Metazoa; Chordata; Mammalia; Rodentia; Sciuridae
Source: RNAcentral